RNAcentral lists this ribosomal RNA (202 nucleotides) under uncultured bacterium. RNAcentral describes it as "partial 16S ribosomal RNA". It matches the Rfam family "Bacterial small subunit ribosomal RNA", at positions 328 to 538 of the family's 1533-position model. The record is from RNAcentral.
ACGCUCGACACCUACGGGAGGCAGCAGUUGGGAAUAUUGGACAAUGGAGGAAACUCUGAUCCAGUGACGCCGCGUGAAGGAAGAAGGUCUUCGGAUUGUAAACUUAUUUUGUCAGGGAAGAAAAAAUGACUGUACCUGAAGAAAAGCACCGGCUAACUACGUGCCGACAGCCGCGGUAAUCUGAGCGGGCGUGGCAAGGACG